This 448-nucleotide ribosomal RNA is filed under the name uncultured bacterium. RNAcentral's name for it is "SSU rRNA". It matches the Rfam family "Bacterial small subunit ribosomal RNA", at positions 26 to 518 of the family's 1533-position model. The record is from RNAcentral.
AGAGCGAACGCUGGCGGCAGGCUUAACACAUGCAAGUCGAGCGGGCGUAGCAAUACGUCAGCGGCAGACGGGUGAGUAACGCGUGGGAACGUACCUUUUGGCUCGGAACAACACAGGGAAACUUGUGCUAAUACCGGAUAAGCCCUUACGGGGAAAGAUUUAUCGCCAAAAGAUCGGCCCGCGUCUGAUUAGCUAGUUGGUGAGGUAACGGCUCACCAAGGCGACGAUCAGUAGCUGGUCUGAGAGGAUGAUCAGCCACAUUGGGACUGAGACACGGCCCAAACUCCUACGGGAGGCAGCAGUGGGAAUAUUGGACAAUGGGCGCAAGCCUGAUCCAGCCAUGCCGCGUGAGUGAUGAAGGCCCUAGGGUUGUAAAGCUCUUUUGUGCGGGAAGAUAAAUGACGGUACCGCAAGAAUAAGCCCCGGCUAACUUCGCGCCAGCAGCCGC